GCUAAUAAUGCAAGUCGAGCGAACAGAUAAGGAGCUUGCUCCUUUGACGUUAGCGGCGGACGGGUGAGUAACACGUGGGUAACCUACCUAUAAGACUGGGAUAACUUCGGGAAACCGGAGCUAAUACCGGAUAAUAUUUCGAACCGCAUGGUUCGAUAGUGAAAGAUGGUUUUGCUAUCACUUAUAGAUGGACCCGCGCCGUAUUAGCUAGUUGGUAAGGUAACGGCUUACCAAGGCGACGAUACGUAGCCGACCUGAGAGGGUGAUCGGCCACACUGGAACUGAGACACGGUCCAGACUCCUACGGGAGGCAGCAGUAGGGAAUCUUCCGCAAUGGGCGAAAGCCUGACGGAGCAACGCCGCGUGAGUGAUGAAGGUCUUCGGAUCGUAAAACUCUGUUAUUAGGGAAGAACAUACGUGUAAGUAACUGUGCACGUCUUGACGGUACCUAAUCAGAAAGCCACGGCUAACUACGUGCCAGCAGCCGCGGUAAUACGUAGGUGGCAAGCGUUAUCCGGAAUUAUUGGGCGUAAAGCGCGCGUAGGCGGUUUUUUAAGUCUGAUGUGAAAGCCCACGGCUCAACCGUGGAGGGUCAUUGGAAACUGGAAAACUUGAGUGCAGAAGAGGAAAGUGGAAUUCCAUGUGUAGCGGUGAAAUGCGCAGAGAUAUGGAGGAACACCAGUGGCGAAGGCGACUUUCUGGUCUGUAACUGACGCUGAUGUGCGAAAGCGUGGGGAUCAAACAGGAUUAGAUACCCUGGUAGUCCACGCCGUAAACGAUGAGUGCUAAGUGUUAGGGGG
Molecule: ribosomal RNA, 800 nt
Filed under: Staphylococcus sp. B40-PCA-PT2P21
Lineage: Bacteria; Bacillati; Bacillota; Bacilli; Caryophanales; Staphylococcaceae
Description: bacterial SSU rRNA
Rfam family: Bacterial small subunit ribosomal RNA
Source: RNAcentral